GCUCUAAUGGAAGUUGGUAUGGUUAAAGUUCAAAAUUUGAAAAGAGUUCAUACAAAAUAAUCUCCGGUAAAUGUGUACCGUGUUUAGUAACUUAGUGUGAUGGAAAACUCAAACGAACACACAUAUAACUCAUUUAUUCAUGAGAACGAAGGAAAUCGAAGAGACCUACCUCACAGACUGCCAGAGAACUUUCCAGUAGAGUCUUAAUAUCAUUUUUAAAACAAGGAGAUUUUUCAAUGGAGUGUUUCUUAAUGUGAAAUCGAAAACUGGACGUCUGUCCGUCCAUCAUCGUCCGACUAGCUCCCACGAAAAGAUUUGGAAAAGUUGGUUUAAAACUCCUACGGGAACCAUUUGACUGUUUUAAGUGACAGGACGAUGAGAUGCCCAUCUUUGGUUUAAUUUUAUUUUGUUUACGAAAUUUGAACGCAAGAUAAAAACUUGACUGAUCUUCAUUCCUGGACUCACUCCCAGCAACAAUCAUAUUCGAAACCUCUUUUAUAAUUGUUGUGAUGCUAACAAACCGUUACCAUUCUCAUUGUGGAUGCAUAGAUGCAGUAGAUUCACCAAUAAAUGCCAUAUAAUCGAAAUUAAAAAGACAGAUAUGUUUAUAGAAGAUUCUGGAUAAUUUACCAACAUAAUUGAAGAACAAUGGAACAUUUCAUGUUUGAAGUAGCAACACCAGUAAAUACCAGUUCAUCAGACGAAUAAACCAAAGUUCAGGAAUGUGAAACUUAUUUCAUUGGACAAAAAUUUAUUGAUAUCCACAUCAUUAUUCUUGUUAAAUAUAACUACGAAACUAAGAUUAACAAUUUCAUGUAAUAUUUACAUAGUACUUUUCUUUUAUUAGUCAACGAAGAAAUUGGUCUUAGAUUAACAAUUGACUCGAAAAUGCUGUCAUUGACUCUCUGCUCAAAUGUUCCCCGUUUACUCACAUACCACUACUAUAUUCAGGAUGAGUUAAAUUAAGCAACUUAGUUUCAAUGACAUUCUUAGUUAUCAUGCAUUUUUUUGCAUGAUAAAUUAUUGGCGAAAAUAAUUUAUUUAUCAAAAAUGACUGAAACAAGAAAAAGAUAAAUUAUUGGCGAAACUCCCCACUGAAGCAUC
Octopus bimaculoides (California two-spot octopus) is the source of this 1104-nucleotide long non-coding RNA. Lineage: Eukaryota; Metazoa; Mollusca; Cephalopoda; Octopoda; Octopodidae. The record is from RefSeq and is a predicted model, not a curated record.